UGCAGUCGAGCGGAGUUAUUCCUUCGGGAGUAACUUAGCGGCGGACGGGUGAGUAACACGUAGGUAACCUGCCUGUAAGACCGGGAUAACAUUCGGAAACGAAUGCUAAUACCGGAUAUGCAAUCUGGUCGCAUGACCGGGUUGGGAAAGACGGAGCAAUCUGUCACUUACAGAUGGACCUGCGGCGCAUUAGCUAGUUGGUGAGGUAACGGCUCACCAAGGCGACGAUGCGUAGCCGACCUGAGAGGGUGAUCGGCCACACUGGGACUGAGACACGGCCCAGACUCCUACGGGAGGCAGCAGUAGGGAAUCUUCCGCAAUGGACGAAAGUCUGACGGAGCAACGCCGCGUGAGUGAAGAAGGUUUUCGGAUCGUAAAGCUCUGUUGCCAGGGAAGAAUGCUUGGGAGAGUAACUGCUCCCAAGGUGACGGUACCUGAGAAGAAAGCCCCGGCUAACUACGUGCCAGCAGCCGCGGUAAUACGUAGGGGGCAAGCGUUGUCCGGAAUUAUUGGGCGUAAAGCGCGCGCAGGCGGCUAAUUAAGUUCGGUGUUUAAUCCUGGGGCUCAACCCCGGGUCGCACUGGAAACUGGUUGGCUUGAGUGCA
Molecule: ribosomal RNA, 605 nt
Filed under: uncultured Bacillota bacterium
Lineage: Bacteria; Bacillati; Bacillota
Description: bacterial SSU rRNA
Rfam family: Bacterial small subunit ribosomal RNA
Source: RNAcentral